RNAcentral lists this ribosomal RNA (324 nucleotides) under Streptococcus pneumoniae. RNAcentral describes it as "partial 23S ribosomal RNA". It matches the Rfam family "Bacterial large subunit ribosomal RNA", at positions 2031 to 2354 of the family's 2925-position model. The record is from RNAcentral. Lineage: Bacteria; Bacillati; Bacillota; Bacilli; Lactobacillales; Streptococcaceae.
ACUCGGUGAAAUUAUAGUACCUGUGAAGAUGCAGGUUACCCGCGACAGGACGGAAAGACCCCGUGGAGCUUUACUGUAGCCUGAUAUUGAAUUUUGGUGCAACUUGUACAGGAUAGGUAGGAGCCAGAGAACCCGGAGCGCCAGCUUCGGGGGAGGCGUCGGUGGGAUACUACCCUGGUUGUAUUGAACUUCUAACCCACAAGCCUUAGCGGCUUGGGAGACAGUGUCAGGCGGGCAGUUUGACUGGGGCGGUCGCCUCCUAAAGAGUAACGGAGGCGCUCAAAGGUUCCCUCAGAAUGGUUGGAAAUCAUUCGCAGAGUGUAA